This 162-nucleotide ribosomal RNA is filed under the name Anisomeles indica. RNAcentral describes it as "5.8S ribosomal RNA". It matches the Rfam family "5.8S ribosomal RNA". From Rfam's summary of the family: 5.8S ribosomal RNA (5.8S rRNA) is a component of the large subunit of the eukaryotic ribosome. It is transcribed by RNA polymerase I as part of the 45S precursor that also contains 18S and 28S rRNA. Lineage: Eukaryota; Viridiplantae; Streptophyta; Magnoliopsida; Lamiales; Lamiaceae. The record is from RNAcentral.
AACGACUCUCGGCAACGGAUAUCUCGGCUCUCGCAUCGAUGAAGAACGUAGCGAAAUGCGAUACUUGGUGUGAAUUGCAGAAUCCCGUGAACCAUCGAGUCUUUGAACGCAAGUUGCGCCCGAAGCCACUAGGCUGAGGGCACGUCUGCCUGGGCGUCACGC